CCUAUGGCAGUCCGGAGACGUGUAACUCGUCAGGCUUACUAGCUACGGGGCAGUUGUCUGGACAGGUUACUCGCCAGCUAGAAGCUUGGUAAAUGUGCAACCUUGAAAGUGUCAUAAUUAGGCACAGAUAUGCGCGCUGAGUGUGUCAAAUGUAAUGAUGAGGUUAGUUAAAAUGUUUGCCAUCAAAUAUGAGUGUAGGGAGGCAUUAUUUGUCCUGACGAUUUGCUCCUACCUACGGCCAUUUGGCAGUCGAGAGACGUGUAGCGCCCAAGGCUCAGCAGCGACGGGACAGUUGUCUGGACGAGGUUACUUUAGACGUGCAGCCCCGAAAGCACAUUGGGAAGCAUGAAUAUAGCCGGUGAGUUUAUCAUAAGUGAAAUUUAGGUUACUUAGGGUGCUUGGCACUGGUUUUGGUGCUCCAAUGUAAGAUGACCACUGGUAGUUAUGGUCAUGGCCCAUAGGAGCGCCAGUUGUUGCGACACUAAGUAGAAUAUGGUUCAUGAACAAAUAAGAACAUAGGCAAGGUUACCCGAGGCCGACGUCGAUCGACCUGGUCGUCGACCAGGUCCGCCAAUGU
This 577-nucleotide long non-coding RNA is filed under the name Volvox carteri. RNAcentral's name for it is "long non-coding RNA (VCAR_LNC003315)". The record is from RNAcentral. Lineage: Eukaryota; Viridiplantae; Chlorophyta; Chlorophyceae; Chlamydomonadales; Volvocaceae.